UCUUUGAAAACAUUUUAUAUUAUUGCAACAAAUUCAUUAUUACUCGUAGGCAUCGCCAUGAAGCUUUUCUUGGUUCUACUCCCUUUCUUUGCUAUGACUACAUCCGGAAUUCAUUGUGCCACCAACUGCUCGCUAGCCUGCAACAGAAUGUACUGGCCCCAUUGUGGUUUUGCCCAUGACUGUAAUUUGGAAGCAGACAAUGCGUGUAUUUUGGGCUAUGAGAUCUGCAGACGUGGGAAAACUAAUAUGCCACGGAAGCUAAGAUCAUAAACCUCAAAAAUAUUAAACUUGUUUCAAUAGAAUUUGCCUCAGCAUUUGAAAGAACAGCCGCUAAAGAGUGUCCCACCAAUAAACCCAAAUGCCGACGUGUAGAUCCGUAAUGAGAAGAUGGUAUCUUUGGGAUUGGAAGUUGUAGAACAGAACCCCAUCGCAUCGAAAUAUUCAGUUGCAAAAAAUGUAUUUCUGUACCGAGCAUUCACAUUUGAAAAAAAGCAACCCAUGCAAAAGGAAAUAUUAUUUUUACUGCAUGAAAUUAAUUAUUAAUUUUGCGCCAUUUAACGACUCAAUUUUGAUCUAUAAAGCCCGCUUGCAUGAC
Long non-coding RNA from Drosophila obscura, 595 nucleotides. RefSeq lists it as uncharacterized. Lineage: Eukaryota; Metazoa; Arthropoda; Insecta; Diptera; Drosophilidae. The transcript is spliced from 2 exons. The record is from RefSeq and is a predicted model, not a curated record.